AGUGAACGCUGGCGGUAUGCCUAACACAUGCAAGUCGAACGGCAGCACAGUAAGAGCUUGCUCUUACGUGUGUCGAGUGUCGGACGGUUGAGGAAUACAUCGGAAUCUACUUUUUCGUGGGGGAUAACGUAGGGAAACUUACGCUAAUACCGCAUACGACCUACGUGUGAAAGCAGGGGAUGUUCUGACCUGUCGCUAUUGAAUGAGCCGAUGUCGGAUUAGCUAGUUGGCGGGGUAAAGGCGCACCAAGGCGACGAUCCGUAUCUGGUAUGAGAGGAUGAUCAGAUACCUUGGCACUGAGGCUCGUCCCAGACACCUACGCGAGGACACAGUGCAGAAUAUUGGACAAUGCGGGAGUGCCUAAUACUGCAAUAUGGCGUGGGUCAAGAAGGAGUUAUGCUUGUAGAGCCAUUAUGUUCGGGAAGUAAAGAGGCACGUUAACCCGCCGUUGUUAUGACAGUACCCAAAGAAUAAGCACCGGCUAACUCCGUG
Molecule: ribosomal RNA, 492 nt
Filed under: uncultured bacterium
Lineage: Bacteria
Description: partial 16S ribosomal RNA
Rfam family: Bacterial small subunit ribosomal RNA
Source: RNAcentral